Molecule: long non-coding RNA, 330 nt
Filed under: Gossypium raimondii (Peruvian cotton)
Lineage: Eukaryota; Viridiplantae; Streptophyta; Magnoliopsida; Malvales; Malvaceae
Description: long non-coding RNA (GRAI_LNC007462)
Source: RNAcentral
CUAAAUCGAAACUAACUUUAUUUCUUCAAAACUAAUUCCAUAUUUUCAUUCAAUUUCCACUUUAGACUAAAUUCAACUCUCUAAUUUCACUCAAAUCCUUAAAUUUCAAAUUUAGUCCCUAAUACUCAAAACUUAUAAUUUAUUUUACAAUUCAAUCCCUUUUUCAUUCCUAACUUAAAAUUCUAUCAAUUUAAUCUCAAAUACUUAAAUUAUUCAACAUGAACAACAUCUAAGAAUUCAAUAUUUUCUAAAAUUUUAAUAUAGGUUAAGUAGUAUUUAAUACUAGAAUUCUAAAAACAUAAAAAUUAUAAGAAAAUGGACUAAAUUGAC